RNAcentral lists this ribosomal RNA (428 nucleotides) under uncultured bacterium. RNAcentral describes it as "bacterial SSU rRNA". It matches the Rfam family "Bacterial small subunit ribosomal RNA", at positions 355 to 775 of the family's 1533-position model. The record is from RNAcentral.
UGGGGAAUCUCGCGCAAUGCGCGAAAGCGUGACGCAGCAACACCGCGUGAGGGAAGACGGCCUUAGGGUUGUAAACCUCUUUCAGGUGGGACGAAGGUGAUGCGGUGAAUAGCCGAUGUCAUUGACGGUACCGUCAGAAGAAGCUCCGGCUAACUACGUGCCAGCAGCCGCGGUAAUACGUAGGGAGCGAGCGUUGUCCGGAAUCAUUGGGCGUAAAGAGCAUGUAGGUGGAUCAAUUAGUCUGCUGUGAAAGUCAAAGGCUCAACCUUUGAAAGCCGGUGGAUACUGUUGAUCUAGAGUACGGAAGAGGCGAGUGGAAUUCCUGGUGUAGCGGUGGAAUGCGCAGAUAUCAGGAGGAACACCAAUAGCGAAGGCAGCUCGCUGGGACGUUACUGACACUGAGAUGCGAAAGCGUGGGGAGCAAACAG